GCGAGGUACAGUUCUGUCUAUGUGUGGCAUUUUCAGUAAAGAAGUUCCGAGUAAAAACGUUUGCGUUGCUUACUACUUCUCUGCCGAACCUUAUCUUAGUGCCUCAAGCAGUAACGACUCUAGUUUGUUUGUGUAACGCCUUCGGGCGGUUUAAUCAAUAGUAAGGAAAUAUGUAAGAUGGCUAAGAUCAAAGGUCAAGUGAAGUGGUUCAACGAAGCGAAGGGUUUCGGUUUCAUCACCCCGGCUGACGGCAGCAAGGACGUGUUCGUUCACUUCUCUGCAAUCCAGGGCAACGGUUUCAAAACUCUGGCUGAAGGUCAGCACGUAGAGUUCGAAAUCCAGGAUGGCCAGAAAGGUCCGUCUGCUGUUAACGUAACUGCUAUCUAAGUUAGCUGCGUUAGUGGUUAAAAAACCCGCCGACGGCGGGUUUUUUUAU
This is a non-coding RNA of Edwardsiella ictaluri 93-146, 436 nucleotides long. The record is from Rfam. NCBI's taxonomy places the organism in Bacteria, Pseudomonadati, Pseudomonadota, Gammaproteobacteria, Enterobacterales, Hafniaceae.